GACGAACGCUGGCGGCGUGCUUAACACAUGCAAGUCGAACGGAAAGGCCCCUUUGGGGGUACUCGAGUGGCGAACGGGUGAGUAACACGUGAGUAACCUGCCCUUGACUUCGGGAUAACUUCAGGAAACUGGGGCUAAUACCGGAUAGGAAUCCUUGCUGCAUGGUGGGGGUUGGAAAGCUUCGGCGGUUUUGGAUGGACUCGCGGCUUAUCAGCUUGUUGGUGGGGUAGUGGCUUACCAAGGCUUUGACGGGUAGCCGGCCUGAGAGGGCGACCGGCCACAUUGGGACUGAGGUACGGCCCAGACGCCGACUGGAGGAAGAAGUGGGGAAGAUUGCACAAGGGGCGGAGGCCGGAUGCAGCAACGCCUCGGGCGGGAUGACGGCCUUCGGGUUGGAAAACGGUUUCAGCAGGGGCGAAGCUUGUGGUGACGGUACCUGCAGAAGAAGCACCGGCUAACUACGUG
Molecule: ribosomal RNA, 465 nt
Filed under: uncultured bacterium
Lineage: Bacteria
Description: partial 16S ribosomal RNA
Rfam family: Bacterial small subunit ribosomal RNA
Source: RNAcentral